AGAGUUUGAUCAUGGCUCAGAACGAACGCUGGCGGCAUGCCUAACACAUGCAAGUCGAACGAGACCUUCGGGUCUAGUGGCGCACGGGUGCGUAACGCGUGGGAAUCUGCCCUUAGGUUCGGAAUAACAGUUAGAAAUGACUGCUAAUACCGGAUGAUGACUUCGGUCCAAAGAUUUAUCGCCUAAGGAUGAGCCCGCGUAGGAUUAGCUUGUUGGUGAGGUAAAGGCUCACCAAGGCUACGAUCCUUAGCUGGUCUGAGAGGAUGAUCAGCCACACUGGGACUGAGACACGGCCCAGACUCCUACGGGAGGCAGCAGUGGGGAAUAUUGGACAAUGGGCGAAAGCCUGAUCCAGCAAUGCCGCGUGAGUGAUGAAGGCCUUAGGGUUGUAAAGCUCUUUUACCCGGGAUGAUAAUGACCGUACCGGGAGAAUAAGCUCCGGCUAACUCCGUGCCAGCAGCCGCGGUA
RNAcentral lists this ribosomal RNA (468 nucleotides) under uncultured Pseudomonadota bacterium. RNAcentral's name for it is "bacterial SSU rRNA". It matches the Rfam family "Bacterial small subunit ribosomal RNA", at positions 8 to 522 of the family's 1533-position model. The record is from RNAcentral. Lineage: Bacteria; Pseudomonadati; Pseudomonadota.